AUUGAACGCUGGCGGCAUGCUUUACACAUGCAAGUCGAACGGCAGCGCGGGCUUCGGCCUGGCGGCGAGUGGCGAACGGGUGAGUAAUACAUCGGAACGUGCCCAGUAGUGGGGGAUAGCUCGGCGAAAGCCGGAUUAAUACCGCAUACGACCUGAGGGUGAAAGCGGGGGAUCUUCGGACCUCUCGCUAUUUGAGCGGCCGAUGGCAGAUUAGCUAGUUGGUGGGGUAAAGGCCUACCAAGGCGACGAUCUGUAGCUGGUCUGAGAGGACGACCAGCCACACUGGGACUGAGACACGGCCCAGACUCCUACGGGAGGCAGCAGUGGGGAAUUUUGGACAAGGGGCGAAAGCCUGAUCCAGCAAUGCCGCGUGUGUGAUGAAGGCCUUCGGGUUGUAAAGCACUUUUGGCGGGAAGGAAAAGGACUGUGCCAAUACCACGGUUCGAUGACGGUACCCGCAGAAUAAGCACCGGCUAACUACGUG
This 484-nucleotide ribosomal RNA is filed under the name uncultured bacterium. RNAcentral describes it as "partial 16S ribosomal RNA". It matches the Rfam family "Bacterial small subunit ribosomal RNA", at positions 29 to 507 of the family's 1533-position model. The record is from RNAcentral.